Molecule: ribosomal RNA, 207 nt
Filed under: uncultured bacterium
Lineage: Bacteria
Description: partial 16S ribosomal RNA
Rfam family: Bacterial small subunit ribosomal RNA
Source: RNAcentral
CGAGUAGGCGGAUCUGCAAGUCAGAUGUGAAAUCCCGGAGCUCAACUCCGGAACUGCAUUUGAAACUGCAGACCUUGAGUGAUGGAGAGGCAGGCGGAAUUCCCGGUGUAGCGGUGGAAUGCGUAGAUAUCGGGAGGAACACCAGUGGCGAAGGCGGCCUGCUGGACAUUAACUGACGCUGAGGAGCGAAAGCGUGGGGAGCAAACA